RNAcentral lists this small RNA (132 nucleotides) under Citrobacter freundii. Its description in RNAcentral is "partial RtT sRNA". It matches the Rfam family "RtT RNA", at positions 34 to 130 of the family's 130-position model. Rfam says of the family: This family represents a bacterial cis-regulatory element known as RtT RNA. The record is from RNAcentral. Lineage: Bacteria; Pseudomonadati; Pseudomonadota; Gammaproteobacteria; Enterobacterales; Enterobacteriaceae.
GUCGCAGGUUCGAAUCCUGCACGACCCACCAAUCGCUAAGGUGGAAUGCGAUUGUAAAACGUGAAGGAUAACGUUGCGUAAGCAACGGCCCGUAGGGCGAGACGAAGUCGAGUCAUCCUGCACGACCCACCA